This is a long non-coding RNA of Chrysemys picta bellii (western painted turtle), 12893 nucleotides long. RefSeq lists it as uncharacterized. The record is from RefSeq and is a predicted model, not a curated record. NCBI's taxonomy places the organism in Eukaryota, Metazoa, Chordata, Testudines, Emydidae.
GUAUGGGACUGAAGGCCUGAGUCCAGCACUCCCAGGGCAUCACUUUCUUGGUAACAGAAUUUUUCCACUUGCAAUCUGUGGUAAACAAAUGAGGUAUCCCUCUCCUUCAGGCUUCAGCUGUUCAGAGUGAGGUUUCACACCCCCUUCUACAACCUGCCCAUCCAAAUUGACUGUAUGGUCUCUGGGUCUGUACCUUUUCUUCUUCUUACUGUCUGAACCUGAAGCAGCAUCAUCACUGUCCAUUUUUGAAGUGUCUGGUGAAAAGCCAACAUGUGACGUCAGAGAUUCCCCAGGGUGCAAGUUAGUUUUGCAGCUAGGAGAUGUGUGCUGAAGUGUCCCUGCUGUGUGCCUGUACUGGCUUUCAGAAGAUGCCUGCUCCUGCCAAUGUUGAGAUACCUCAGUUCCUGAUUGCUGAGAAACCUCCAGUCUUUUUGCUGGCAUUGGAGGUGUUGAUGGUUGCAUCAAGGAAGGGGGUGGUGGUGAUGGCACCUGUGCAGUAUCUAAGAACUGGGACCUUUGAGAUGGACUAGGUAUUGAACCCUUUGGUGAGUAUGUGAUAUGCUGUCGAGCAAAUGCGUCAUGCCUAAUAUUCCCAGGAUUAAACGAGGAACAGCGGGGACUCUUAGGUUGGUGCUGGCCUGUGGUUUCUUCCAAUUUAUCAUGCUGCUGAAGCACUGCAGUCUUUAAUAAUGAGGAAGUGCUUGAAGGUUUUACAAGUCCUGGAGAACUGGUGUGAGGUUUUACAGCAUUUACUGGGAUCUUACUGUGUUUGUCGUUUUCACUAUGUUCUGUCCUGCUGCUUUCAGGCCCUGUUUGCAGGUUUACAUCUACAGGACUGGGGAAACUUUCAGGGCUCCCCGCAAUCCCGUUAGUUGGUGGAGGAGAAGAGUUUUGUAAUACUUCAUGACUACCUUUGGAAACUUUAGAAGGAGGGGGGCCCUGAUGCCCAUCCCUAUGUUCGCCUUUCCUUUUCCGAUUUCCCAGUUUUUCUGUUUUCGGGGAGUUUAGCUUUUGGAUAUCAUUCCUGCUUUUCAAUUCAUUGAUGGGCUUUGAUCCAGUUACUACAGCAGGUGGCACUUCUGGUUUACAGUUGUGUGCACCACCAUUUGCUGAUCCAGGUGGAUUCGGCAAUCCUCUUGGAACGGAUUCAUUCUGGGUUACAGGUUCUAUCAGUUUUUGCCAAUUCCGUAGCAAUUUCUUGGCACGUUUGGCAAGUUCUUCAUUGGACGUCUUCUUUCUUACGUCAUUGAUGAGUUUCCCUAAUCUUGUUUCCUAUAAAAAGUGAGAAGAGUUGUUUUACAAAAAUUUAAUUCUGAAAACAUAGAACGUAAGUCAAAUCAUAAGAUGCAUUUUCACUUGUCAAUGCAUACUGUUCUGCCAAAUAUCACACCAAAAAUUCACAAAGAAUGUAGGAGCUAAAUAAUAAUAAUCCAUUAGUCUUUUUGGAAGGGAUUGAUUCAGCUGACUCCAUGCUCCACCAUUCAGGGAACCUACUGAAGUUUGAUUCUUCCUCUCUUCUCUUUCUCCACUGGCUGAAGUGCCAUGGGAGCCAUCUGGGGAGUGUGGUGGGGAAGGAGUCCCUCACUCAAUAUGAACCUCUUGCAGGUGACCAAGGAGCAUGCUCAAGUUCUGGGGAAAGAUGUGCGCAACCCCCAACCAGACAAGGUGUGUGUUCACCACCACAGGCAUGUAGAAAGAGGGACAAGAAAUCACAGACCCUUAGAGCUGAUCAUCACUCUUGGCUUAUUGUCACAUCCUACUCCACCCUCCAGAGUCAGAUGGAAUUUUCCCCAAGUGCUGGGGGAAGGAUUUAUGGGGCCAAUUUAAAUAAAGUUCUCGGGGUGCCUAAACAUGGAAGUCGUAAUCUGGUUGUUCCCUCAGUAAGCCCUUUUGUAUAACCAGAUCUCACAGAGGGCAUUUGGCAUAAGAAUGCUUCAGAGUGAAAAGUGAAUUGAACAAUAAACCCAAUGUGUACGAGUCAGUGUUCUCUAGCUAUACAGUAUUCUCAUAGGGGGAACUAACCUCACAGCCAAUCAGGGAUUGGCACUGAAUUGGGCAUAUUUCAAACUAAUGUUAUGGCUCUAUAAAGUUAUGUUAUUCAUGGUAGGUUAUUAAAGAGAAUUAGAAUUUGAGCAAGAGAAUAAGAAAGUGACCAGUCAUAAGACAUGGAAGUGAUGCUGGCUGAAUCAGACAAGGAAUUAACCAGUGGCAAGUAGGGACUGUUCUGGUCCCUUAUGUGAACAGAAAUUGGAUUGCACCGUACACCAAUAUAGUUGUUACUCUGCUGGUAUAUGAUUCCAGAAAGACAACUCAUUCCAUCAUGUACUGAGGUGCCAGAGGAAGCAGUGGGGGACCAAUUACUGUAUCUUUGCCUUAAAUUUGUAAUCUUUGUGAUUUAUCUAUGUUUUUGUGAAAGAGCUGGAAUACAUUAAAGGGAAUUCAAAAGAUAUUGUACAGAAGCAAUCUGUUUUCAUAUAUAAGCAUGUGUAGAUUUUACAUGUAAGGAGACAUACCUCAAGUGCCUCUUUGGUUAUGGGGUAUUUCUCCAAGCUGGAGAUCACUUCCAGCACUGCUACCAUGUUAUGGAUCUGCAACAAGGAAGAGAAAGUCAUUUAAAUUUUCAUGUAUAUAUUUUAGUUCUCAAAUAAUGCCACAUUUAAAACAUGUUAUGUUGUAUAAUUACAAGAACUGAGCCCAAAAUUGCCACCACAUCUCCUGGCUUUAGGGAGCUGCCUGUCUGCAAUAAGAGGGAAAGGGACACUCCUACAGCCUACUUGGAAAUUGAAGGAGUUGUUACAAUCUUGCUCUUACACAAAGCUAAAUUCAACACACACAGUCAGAUCACAUUGCCAGCUGCAGUGCUUGAUUUUAAGUGAAUACCCAUGAUAGUACAUACCUAUUUUCAUUCAUAAAGAUGUGAACAGUUUAAGCGCAACGUACAUUCACUAUACGUUAAAAUAAGGUGAGAUUGGCAAGUAUAAAGAGAAAACCACCAGUUUCCACUCCUCCAGGUAAAAUCCUGAAUGAGCAGACUUGUGCUGUGUCCCAAGUGUCAGACUAAUUCUGUCAGAUCAACAAGGAAAGCAAAUUCCAGAGCACGCCCAUCAGUGCCCAAAGCACAUCAGUGCCCAGAGUUCAAAUCUAGGGUCUGUUAGCUAGGAUGGCCACACUGGUCAACUGUCAGCAUAGUACUAUGGGAAAGAACCCAGGAUCCAAACCACAGACAGCUUAUUAGGGUUACAUAAUAUUGUAUUCAACAGUGGUGGCAUAGAUUAAAUGUUAAAUUAAAAUAUUUAAUCUUGUUCAGUCUAUUAAUGUACUGUACUUUUGAGAAUCACUCAAAUUGCUCACAUGAUGGCACAUAACAAAUGCUCAACUGGCCCAAUAUUUUAUAGCAUUCUUGAAAAAAGUCUGCUGUAAAGCCAGACUGGUGAAAGCUAUGUUCUUGAUUGACAAAUACAGUACCACCAUAUGCAAUAGGGGUUAAACCCUGACAUUCAUAUCUGUCCCUGUAUCCCAAACUCAGUGAAAAUGAAAAUUUUACAAUACUUUUUCUCCCCCACGAAGCCAUAGCUUUAAGGGUUUCACGAAAACAUGGGGCUUAACCUGCAGUUGAGCAUUACUACUACUGAAGCGUUAUGCCGUGUGUUUAGUGCUGUAAGAAACAGGGAGAGAGAAAAUCCCUGCUCCAACAAACUUACAACAUAAACAGAGAAAACAAGACAAAGGCAGGAGAUGCCCCAGAGGAUUGUUCAGUCUGUGCUCAGAUAGGUGGCUUACCAUGUAAAGGAAUCUGCUCCAUCAAAGGCUAUCAUCACAGGCAUUCUGCCUACAGUUUACCACAGAGAAAACUAGAAGCUGACAAAGAGUUCCAGUUUGAAGUCAGAGUCUUGUGCACAGAAAAACAACAGAACCAAUAUAAAUGGUUUUCAUGGAGCCGCAACGCGUGUCUAACCUGAAUUGCGGGAUUAAUGAUCAGGGCCAGUCUUAAAUACAGCCCUGAUCCAGAAUCAGCCGUAGUUCAGGGAGUCUGUUGAUUCCAGUGGAGUCUAUCCAGCACAAGCUGAGCAAGCAACCACUUUAGAUCCUCCAUCCCAUUAUACCAGUACAUCUCAGGGGUGGUCUCCAUCUACCUCUUCAUCAAUAGGGCGGGGAGGGGGGGUGCUAAGGAGUCUGCUUGAUGCUAGGACGCCCCCAACAGCAUCCUUGACUGAACAGAAGAUGAAGGGAACUCUGCCUUAUUUCCUCCCCCUUCCAGAAACACGGGAUUCCAUAAAUUGUAAUGCUGGCCCUGUCAACGAUAGAUGUUUCAGCUAAAGACAGCCAAGUCCAAAGUACUGUUACUUUUCCUACAGUCUAGACAAGAAACUACCAAACCACAGCCCAUUGAGCACAUGCUGAUAUGGAGAGCGGUCUGCUCAUAUGGUGCUGCCUCUCCUUGCUGAGAAAGCCAUAACAGUUGGGAGGAAAGGUAAAAUGAAGAGCAAGAGUAGUCAAUCUGAUUAACUCUUUCCAAGAAGAAUACUCAAGACAAGUAAAAAUAAAUAUAUACUUUCCUAUAACUUUUCCUAUAAGGAAUUAAUGUUGCUGCCAUAGGAAUAUUAUGCAAUUAAAUGGGAAUUAAGCUGGGACCCAAAAAAUCUGAGCAUUAAAAUUCUAUGAAAGAGCUUGGGAACUGCUGGUUUGGAAAGACUUUUCUAACAGCAACAGUGAAAACAUAAUUUCAGAGUUAUUUCUAAGCAUCACUUCACUGAAUGUGUUAGUUAUACCAGAGAUAUACCUCGUUAUACCUGUGUAAAACAGUAACUUCUUCAGUGUGCUUCGUCAAUGAAUUUUCUAUAAAACAAUAUUUUGAGAAAAAUCUACAUAAGUGUGACUCAUUUCCACAGAGGAGUAGAUCCUGAGCAAAGUCUAAAAACCUCAACAUAAACCACAGUAAAAGUUUAAAACAAGAAAGAGAAGCAAGAAACAGUAUGCCCACUAGGUGUCCUCCAAUUGUCACAGCGAGUAACAAAUCUCUGCUUUAUGAGUUCUAAGCCCAGUCUCAAACACUUGCUAUUCUCAGCACCAAUAAUUCCAAAGCUAUGCUACCUUACAUAUAGGAUAGCAAGGAGUUAUUCUACAAAUUUAUAUCAAAUUAACACACUUGGUGCCAUGUUUUCAAAUGGCCUCAGUGCAACCUUCAUCUGUGCAUAUGCAGCUUUAUGCAUACACAUCACAUCUGUACGCAAAACAAUUUGUGGACACUUAGCGUAAGUGAGAUUGAAAUGCUCAGGUGACCGUGUUCACAAACAAAUGCACCACAAAACCAAUAAUAUACUUGAGAUACAUCAAUGAUAUUUUCAUCCUCUGGACAGACUAAAACUUCCUCAGAUUUCUACCACAACUUCAACAGCCACUACCCAUCUAUUAGACUCACUCGAGAACACUCGCACACUAGCAUUAAGUUCCUGGACACCAUGAUCAACUUCAACAAUGGAACCUUACAGACAACUAUACACAAGAAACCCACAGAUGGACACACCUAUCUUCACAGAUCCAGUAACCAUCCCAAACAUACCAAGAAAUCUGCUAUAUAGAGCCUUCACUUAGACACCACAGAAUAUGCUCUGAGGAGAGUCUGGGAUACACACCUUAAACACACUUAAAACCGCCUUCGCCAAACAAGGACACUCCACCAGAGAAGUAGAUCACAUCAUGGAAUGGGCCACCCAAAUGCCCGGAGAGAACCUGCUUCAAUACAGAAAUAAAAACCCCUCUGACUGCACAUCCCUAAAUGUCACCUACCACCCCACAUUGGAACUCAUACAGGGUAACAAACAAACCAAGAGAUUACUUACAUGUAACUGGUGAUUCUUUGAGAUGUGUGGUCCCUAUUCUGUAUUCCAUUGAGGGUUUAUGCAUGCACACAAUGCUCCCGGAGUUGGAGAAUUUGAAAGUAGUGUCUGUUGGUCUGAGCAUGUGCCUUAGCUCACCUCAUGCUUCCGCUCAAGGUGACAAAGGACAGGACAGAUGACCACAUCUCCAGUUCCUUCUCCACUGCAAAUCAGACAGAUCCAUAGCAAAGGGGAAGGAGGGCAGGAAAUGGAAUACUCGUGGACUUUGAAAUGGCAAAACCCACCACCUUCAAGGAUAGAAGGUAGUCCGGGAGAAGGGGGAUCCCCACUGAUUCCAUUAAAACUCCCUUUUGUUGGGCCCAGGAAGUGAAGCAUUUCCACUUAGCCUGGUAACAGUGUUUAGUGGAUUCUUUCCUGCUGCUGGAGAGGAUAUUUUUCAGCUGUGCAAGACAGGCCCAUUCUAAAGCUAAUGCCCAUCCAAAUACCAUGCUCUGAGGUAGAGCACCUGUGGAUUGGGAUGUCUAAUCUCACUGUUGAACUAUGUCAGCAGGUUGGAGAAGGUAAAGAUAAGAUUUGGUGGAUGGGUUAACAUAUGAAGGAGAUUGGGAAACCAGAUUUGUCUGGGCUAUGACCAUCACUCUGUCUCAUCGGAUCUCGUGGAGUACUCAAGGAGGAGCAGUAGAGGAGGAAAGGCAUCGUUGAUUUGGUCGGACCCUGAGAGUGGUGACAGAGACCUCCCCGGAGUGGGGUGUAGUGCAUUUGAGAUUUAUAUGGGAGGCAGAGGUGUGUGGUCAGGUGACGAUAUCUUGAACUACUGAAUUGUGGAGUGCCCAUUUCUGGUCAGUCACAAAAUGUCUGCUGAGUGAAUCAGUGAGCACAUUCUGUAUCCCUGGAAGGUAAGCUGCAGACAGGAGGAUCUGGUGAGUGGUGCACUAAUUCCAGAGAUUGACUGCUUUUGUGCAUAAAGCUGUCGAUCUCGUGCCCCCGUUUGUUGAAGUAAAUGGCAGUGGUGUUCUCUCAUGUCAGACAACAUGAUGAGACCGGAUGAAUGGGAGAAAGGAUUGACAUGGUUUCAUUACAGCUCAGAGUUCCAGGAUAUUGAUGUGCAUCCUGGAUUCUAAAGACAACCAUGUUCCCUGUGACAUGUAAUCGUCCACGUACUCACCCAUGUGCACUCCCCAGCCUACGAGGGAUGCAUCAAUGAUUAUCAUCUUGUCUGAAGAUGAAGGAAGGGAACCUCUCUGCAUACAUGAUGUGGGUCUGUCCACCACUGAAAGUCCUCACCAGGGUACUGUCCACCUAUCAGCAUGAGGUCCAUGAUGUGACAUUUUGGCAAGUAAACCAUCUGGAGCACAUCUGGAGGCAGUAAAGGUGGAGCUGAGCAAAGGCCGUCACCUAUGUACACUAAGCCAUGUGGCCAAGGAAGGAUAGGCAAGUCCUGGCUGGUACGUGAACGCUCCUUACUGCUGUCAAGAUUUCUGGCAUACGGCUUCAUGAGCCACAGGAUUAAGGGGUACACUGGGUCUCCCAGGAUCACUAUGGGCAUUUCCACACCCCCUAUUGGAAUCUUCUGGUCUGGAAAGAAAGUACCCGCUUGCAGCUUUCUAUACAGGUCCGUGUUCCUGAAGAUGUGUGCAUCAUGCACCUUCCCUGACCACCCCACGUUGAUAUCCGUGAAACGACCCCAGAGAUUCACCAGUGCCUGGAGUACCAUAGAGAAAAGAGAGAGUUACCUUUUCCGUAACUGUUCUUCGAAAUAUGUUGCUCAUGUCCAUUCCAUAUUAGGUGUGUGUGUUCCCCACAUGCACUGGUGCCGGAAGUUUUUCCCCCCAGCAGUAUCUGUAGGGGACCAGCUCUGGCCCCCUCUGGAAUGGCGCCCACAUGGCAUGGUAUAAGGGGCGCUGCUGGCUCCCCCCAGCCUCAGUUCCUUCUUGCCGGAAACUCCGACAGUGGGGAAAGGAGGGCGGGUUGUGGAAUGGACAUGAGCAACACAUCUCAAAGAACACCAGUUAUGGAAAAGGUAACUGUCUUUUCUUCGAGUGCUUGUUCACGUCCAUUCCAUAUUAGGUGACUCCAAAGCAGCACCCCUGGACGUGGGUAGGAGUUCAUGGAUGUGUAGAUUGCAACACAGCUCUGCCAAACCCAACGUUGUCUCUGGCCUGUUGAGUGAUGGAAUAAUGAGUGGUAAACAUGUGAACAGAAGACUACAUUGCAGCUCUACAGAUGUCCUGGAUAGGGAUGUGUGCCAGGAAGACCACCGAAGAUGCCUGCGCUCUGACAAUCGGCAGCGGCAGAACCCCUGCCAGGUCGUAACAGGACCUUAUGCACGAGGUAAUCCAAUUGGAAAUCCUCUGCAAUUGACCCUUCAUCCUAUCCACUUCCGGAAUGAGUGCUGACUCCAUUAGGAGUGCUCUUCGAUGGAUAUCAUGUUCCUUCUUCAUUCUAGGUUUGAAGGACUUACAGAAAUGGCACUUGUCACUUAUGUGCCCUUUGCCUAAGCAGCUGGUAUGUGGAUCGCUGAGGGGCACAGGCCAUUUGCAGCGAUUGCAGGGCUUAAAGCCUGGGAACCAGGGCAUGCCCUGACACCCCAAUGGGUCCCAUUCUGAACUAAUGGAGAAUUUGAGAACUACUACUAAGGGUAACUAAGAAAACUACUAACUAUGUAUAACUAUUUUACAGGAUUUCAAAGUUCGCAAGAACAGAGAAAGAAUCAAUGCUAGCCGAAGCAGCAGAGGUUCCAGCACCGUCACUGACAGCAAGAAGGAACUGAGGGUGGGGUGAGCCAGUGGCGCCCCUUAUACCGCGCCAUGCGGGCGCCACUCCAGAAGGUGCCAGAGUCAGUCCCCUACGGAUACUGCUGGGGGAAAAAACUUCCGGCACCGGUGCACGUGGCGAGCACACACACCUAAUGUGGAAUGGACAUGAGCGAGCACUCGAAGGAAUAGCCCUUUCUGUUGAUGUACUCUGUCAUAAGAUGGGAUAUGCGUGCCAUUGCCCUGUUGCAGUUAGGGAAUCCCAUUGCAACAAAGCCAUUCACUAUUUCCUGCACAUUGCCCAGAGUCACAGUCCUUCAUAGCGGGAGGCGAUUAAUAGUCCUGCACACUUGCAUCACCGCAACCCCCACUGUGGACUCCCAAUUCCAAACGGAUUUCGGUAGCAGUCUGGAGUUGCAAGCUGCUAUACAGCAAUCGCCACUUGCUUUUCCACCAUGAUGGCAGCUCUCAUUUGGUGUCCUUGCUCUGCACACAGUUCCAGGAAGGUGGCUUUGCACAUCCAAAUGUUCUGCUGCCACUGCCUGUCAUACAUACAUGCAUCACAAUGAGAUCCCACCACUCAGUGCUUGUUUCCCGAGCCCAGUACUGACAGUCCACCAUGUGCAGCUGUUCUGUCAAUGCCAACAUCAGUCCUGAAUUGUUUCUUUCCACAGCACACAGCAGGACAGGUAUCACAGACUCAUUAUCAGAUUCACAGCUCAUCACAAAACUGGAGAGUAGUGAAGGAUGCAUGCUUUCAGGCAGAGAUGGCGGGCAAACAGUUUACAGAGGCUGCUGAAAAAUGGAACAAAAUGUAGCUGGAAGCCCAUGGAAUGAUGGAACAGCAAAAACUGCAUCAUGGGACAGUGAGCCUGCCUCCAUGAUGCACUGCAAUCCAUUCCCAGAACUCCAAGCAGUAGAAGGUGGCAAGUUGCACAGUGGGAUAGCUACCCAUGGUGCACUGCUCUCUGUCAGUGCUAGAGCACCAACUGUGAACAUGCUCCGCCGACACAAGGAGCGUUGUGGAAACACGCACAAGCAAUAUAAUUAGAGUGGUUUAUGAUUGUUGAUUUAACUCUGUCGUGUAGACAUAGCCUAAGCAUCAUUAAUCACUGCUCCAGCUCUUUGUUAGGUCCCAGCAAUGCCUCAGCAGAUCUCGUACAUAUCUAGCCCUACUUUCCAAUCAGGUCCGGUCUAACUGUGCAAAAUUUUGAGUCUGCAGCUUCAGACACUUUGGCACCCAAUUUCCCUCAGUGUCCCAGCGCCUGUCCCAGCUACAGUUUUGGUGUCUGUGUUUCACUUCAAUGAGCUGCUGUUUCUUGGUGCUCUGGCACCUGGAUUGCUCUCAGUGCCCUGGUGCCCGAGAUACAGCAGUUCAGCACCCACACAAUUUUUUAGGCAGCCUUAAGGCUACUUGGUGCAUUGGCACCUGCUCUACUAUUUCAGCACCAGUUUUGUCAAGGUUCUUUUAAAAUAAGAUUAGUGCACUAGCUAUUCCAAAUCCACAAUUCCAGGUCCCUGUUGACAGAAUAAUUCUGGGGAAUUUCUAGACAUCAAAAUACACAAAGCAUCUUUAGGCUUUGGAAAACUGGGUAUCUUCCUUCCAAAUAAGUUUUAUCUGAAAUGAGUCAUAUUGAGUAAUUAUGCUCAAUGUGCCCUCCAGGCCAACAAUCUGAGUGACUUUUUACAAUUACUGGUAAUCCCCAAACAUUACACGUUUUAAGUGACUGUCAAACUGAUGGAGAGAGAGGCCAUACACCUGUUAAAAAGUUAAUACAAGGAGUCUGAUAAUGCAGGUGUGUACAUGAAGCUGGCAUAAAAGAGCACUUAGGGAAUAUCCAGUAGCAACUCUUUUUAAUUAGAAAAAAACCCCAAAGGAAAAAACCCCAAAGAAAUAAACACAGGCUACUUCGGGGAUUCCACAUACACUCUCACCUACAGUGUUCUGAGAGAAUAAAAGAAACCCUAUUACAAAAAUCUUCUAGAACCCAUCAAAAUAUGUAAAAAAGUACUCUUGGAUAUGAGGCACCAUUGCCACCAGCUCUAUGCAUGCCUUCCAUAUACUACAGGCAGCAGGAUGUGUUUCUUCUGCUUUGACCUACUUGAAAGCGUGUCUCUUCUGAAAGCACCCUUGGCCAGGUCCAACAGAUUUUGUUUUUGUUAAGAACCAUGAGAAAAUUUCUUUCCACACCUUGUGGAACAACAGUUCACUGAGGACAACCACCAUCUUAUGGAACCUUUAAUAAAAUAAUAUUCACCUAAUUCUAAGCUAUAGUAUGGAAUGUGCAGCCUGCCUAGAAGUACCAUCUCUACAGCAGGAAGUCCAUCCUUUGAUGGCAAUGGCACAUUAACACUGCAUGACUUUUCACAAUUAGAAUAUUGGUUUCAAAGGACUAUAUCAGACUAACAUAUCAAAGCAUAAACCUUAUAGCAUAUCAAAAUUUUAUACAAUAAGAUUUCCCCAGAAAAUAAACAUUGUAAGUAAUGUCUAAUGAGCACGUGAAGUACUAACUUUCAUUUAUGAGAACUCAAAUUUGUUUCAAAAUUCCACAUGCACAAUUAAUUCAUUCUGAAGUCUCCCCAUUUGCCAAAAUUUACAUUAAAGCGAAUCAUGUUUCUAUUAGUUGUAAAAACUAAAUUAAAAAUGUAGAAAUCAGAAAUCCCAGUUUAAGACUGAGAAUUAAAUACUUCUUCCUAACAGGAACUAAAUUCCAAGGCUUAAUAAAAUGUAAGCAGUUGUUAAACCCCUGAACACAGGGCUAUUACUAGAGACACCAAAACUCCACAGCUACCACCAUGCACUGCUGGCCUAAGAAUUCAUAUUAGUCUCCCAUAGUUAAAAACUUGCUCAGCUUGUUAGAUGAAAAGGUUUUGCUAACUUCAGCGAUAUACAUUGAUAUGCCAUGAGAAACUGUUCUAGUUUGAAAAACAGCAGUCCAGAUAACAGUCCGCUGUUCAGAAUGCUCUAUUAUUGUCUACAUACUAGAUAAGACAAAAUAAAAUAAAAUGAACUGGCAAGGGAGGAGUUUAGCAAUCUGGGUCUCUAGAAACUGCAAGAGUAUACAGUUGCAUAAUUCAGCUGCCUCAAGAACUCACAUGUGGUUUUAUUGCCUAUUUGCCUCAGUCUAUGACUGCCACUUUCCCUCCCUGCCAAAACUCCUCCCAUUUACAUAGCCAGUUCUGUUAGCUCCUCUUCUGCAAAGGUAAAGAACUUGUACUGCUUGUCCUCAUCCUGUGUUUUGAAGUUUGAUAGCCAUGUGGAUCAUGCAUACAAAAGUUUAUUGGAAGAGGAGAACAUAUGUGUUGAGCCACUUUCAACAACCCAUUCAAUACCAAUCCAUGGACUAUGACAGAAUGCAAAUCCUAUCUAUUUAUUCCAUAAUAUCAGUCUCCGGCAGUUAACCUCAUUAAUCACACUUCUGAAUUUAGUAUUGGUUUCCUAGGAUCUCUUCCAAAUUAAGCAACAUCUCUUUCCAUUCUAGCUUUAAACUAGAAUAUGACAGUUACUCAACCCUGUGGGACAAAACCACAAGCAGCUCAGUUUCUCAAUGGCUUUUUGUCGCUUUAAAAGUAUUCUACUUUUAUAAAGUAAGAGUCCAACUGAAUCUUUAAUUUAAGGAUGGUCUUUAAUAUGGCAGUUAUUCCACACACAAAAAUCUAUUGAAUAUUAUUAAAUUACGGUAACACCCAAAGGCCACAAUCAGGAUUGUGUUAGGUGCUGUACAAACAAUCCCUCCCUCAGAGUUUACAAUUUAAUUAUAGAUUAGAUGCAAAUGUAAAACAACAAGAAGCAGGAAGAGUGGAUAAAACUAACAAGAUCUGGUUACACAGGCUGCCUGCUACAUGCCUAACGAUCAUUCCAAAUCAUCGUAAUUUAAACCUUCGCUAUACAUUUUAGGGGAGUUAUUUGUUUUAUUACACCAGCCCAAACUCCCUUGGUUCUUUUAAAUCCACUCCUCCCCAAGUGACAACUGACUCACUACACGUUUUUAAUGUUUUCUCUCUCUUUUACAUAAAUUAUCCCCUGGUAUCCCUGCCUAGCAUCUCUCAAAUCUUCAGAUAAUGGCCCCUCUUCCUCUACACAAGUUCCAAGAAAUGCACCUCCCAGUGUGGGACUGGGAGGCCACUUAAGCCCUGAGGAUUUUCCCCACUUUCUGCUGCAGUCCAGAAGGUUGAGUCCUUGCAGGGGUCAGGCUCAAGAGACAAAAUACAUUCUGGAACAUUACUGCUCUGAAGAGACUUUUCUAAUCCUUAACACUGUCAGUUUUGACAAAAAAAAAAAAAAACGGUAUAAAUAUUCUCU